GACGAACGCUGGCGGCGUGCUUAACACAUGCAAGUCGAACGGAAAGGCCCUGCCUUUGUGGGGUGCUCGAGUGGCGAACGGGUGAGCAACACGUGAGUACCGUGCACUUGCCUUUGGGAUAACUUAAGGCAACUGGGGCUAAUCCCGGCAAGGAGCUCCUGCUGCUUGGUGGGGGUUGGAUAGUUUCGGCGGUUGGGGAUGGAAUCGCGGCUUAUCAGCUUGAUGGUGGGGUAGUGGCUUACCAAGGCUUUGACGAGUAGCCGGCGUGCGAGGGUGACCGGCCACAUUGGGACUGGGAUACAGCCCAGACUCCUACUGGAGGCAGCGGUGGGGAAGAGUGCACAGGGGGCGGGAGCCUAGUGCAGCAACGCCGCGUGCGGGAUGACGUCCUUCGGUUUGGGUUCUGCUGUCGCCUGUGACGAAACGUUAGUGACGGUAAUGGGUAAAUAAGCACCGGCUAACUACGUG
RNAcentral lists this ribosomal RNA (468 nucleotides) under uncultured bacterium. RNAcentral's name for it is "partial 16S ribosomal RNA". It matches the Rfam family "Bacterial small subunit ribosomal RNA", at positions 28 to 507 of the family's 1533-position model. The record is from RNAcentral.